UGGGGAAUUUUUGGCAAUGGGGGCAACCCUGACCAAGCAACGCCGCGUGGGUGAUGAAGUCUCUUGGGACGUAAAACCCUUUCGACGGGGAAGAAACCGCAAGGUUGACGGUACCCGUAGAAGAAGCCCCGGCUAACUCCGUGCCAGCAGCCGCGGUAAUACGGGGGGGGCAAGCGUUGUUCGGAAUUACUGGGCGUAAAGGGUGCGUAGGCGGUCCGCUAAGUUGGAUGUGAAAACUCUGGGCUCAACCCAGAGCCUGCAUCCAAAACUGGCAGGCUAGAGUUCUGGAGGGGGUAGCGGAAUUCCUGGUGUAGCGGUGAAAUGCGUAGAUAUCAGGAGGAACACCGGUGGCGAAGGCGGCUACCUGGACAGAAACUGACGCUGAGGCACGAAAGCUAGGGGAGCAAACAGGAUUAGAUACCCCCGUAGUCC
RNAcentral lists this ribosomal RNA (432 nucleotides) under uncultured bacterium. RNAcentral describes it as "bacterial SSU rRNA". It matches the Rfam family "Bacterial small subunit ribosomal RNA", at positions 355 to 796 of the family's 1533-position model. The record is from RNAcentral.